GCACCCGCGGUAAUUCCAGCUCCAAUAGCGUAUAUUAAAGUUGUUGCAGUUAAAAAGCUCAUAGUUGGAUUUCUGGGAGGGUGCCGAUGUCCACUUAACGUGUGCGCAGCGGCGCCCUCUCAUCCUUCUGUUAGCGUCUCAUGGCAUCCAUUUGCUGGUGGCGGGCUCAGAUAUUUUACCUUGAGAAAAUUAGAGUGUUUCAGGCAGGCUAGGCCGGAAUACAUUAGCAUGGAAUAAUGGAAUAGGACUACGGUCUCUUUGUUGGUUUGAGGGACUGCAGUAAUGAUUAAUAGGGAUAGUUGGGGGCAUUAGUACUUAACUGUCAGAGGUGGAAUUCUCAGAUUUGUUAAAGACUGACUUAUGCGAAAGCAUUUGCCAAGGAUGUUUUUAUCAAUCAAGAACGAAAGU
RNAcentral lists this ribosomal RNA (408 nucleotides) under uncultured eukaryote. RNAcentral describes it as "SSU rRNA". It matches the Rfam family "Eukaryotic small subunit ribosomal RNA", at positions 570 to 990 of the family's 1831-position model. The record is from RNAcentral.